UACGUAGGGUGCAAGCGUUAAUCGGAUUUACUGGGCGUAAAGCGUGCGCAGGCGGCCCGUUAAGACAGGUGUGAAAUCCCUGGGCUCAACCUAGGAAUUGCGCUUGUGACUGGCGGGCUCGAGUACGGUAGAGGGGGGUGGAAUUCCUGGUGUAGCAGUGAAAUGCGUAGAGAUCAGGAGGAACACCGAUGGCGAAGGCAGCCCCCUGGGCCUGUACUGACGCUCAUGCACGAAAGCGUGGGGAGCAAACAGG
This 253-nucleotide ribosomal RNA is filed under the name uncultured microorganism. RNAcentral's name for it is "partial 16S ribosomal RNA". It matches the Rfam family "Bacterial small subunit ribosomal RNA", at positions 524 to 776 of the family's 1533-position model. The record is from RNAcentral.